Molecule: non-coding RNA, 74 nt
Organism: Podarcis lilfordi (Lilford's wall lizard)
Lineage: Eukaryota; Metazoa; Chordata; Lepidosauria; Squamata; Lacertidae
Source: the annotation of a GenBank genome assembly
CGAGGCGUAGUUCAGCCAGGAAAGCAUGAGACUCUUCAUCUCAGGGUUGUGGGUUCGAACCCUCCCCCCCUCGG